This 289-nucleotide ribosomal RNA is filed under the name uncultured bacterium. RNAcentral describes it as "partial 16S ribosomal RNA". It matches the Rfam family "Bacterial small subunit ribosomal RNA", at positions 28 to 314 of the family's 1533-position model. The record is from RNAcentral.
GAUGAACGCUAGCGGCAGGCCUAAUACAUGCAAGCCGAACGGUAAGAUUUGUAGCAAUACGAGUCCUAGAGUGGCGUAAGGGUGCGUAACACGUAUGCAAUCUGCCCGCAACUGGAGGAUAGCUCGGGGAAACCCGGAUUAACCCUCCAUAAGAUCACACAAUGGCAUCAAAGAGUGAUUAAAUCUCCGGAGGUUGCGGAUGAGCAUGCGGUUGAUUAGCUAGUUGGUAGUGUAACGGACUACCAAGGCAAUGAUCAAUAGGGGAACUGAGAGGUUGAACCCCCACACU